AUUCCAGCUCCAAUAGCGUAUAUUAAAGUUGUUGCAGUUAAAAAGCUCGUAGUUGGAUUUCUGGUAGGAGCGACCGUGCCGAACCUGAUUGUUCGUGUAUUGUGUUGUCUUCAGCCAUCCUCGUGGAGAACUUUUCUAACAUUAACUUGUUGGGAUUGGGACCCGCGUCGUUUACUGUGAAAAAAUUAGAGUGUUUAAAGCAGGCAUUAGCUUGAAUACAUUAGCAUGGAAUAAUAAGAUAGGACUUUGGUACUAUUUUGUUGGUUUGCAUACCAAAUUAAUGAUCAACAGGAACAGUUUGAGGAUAUUCGUAUGAACAUGUCAGAGGUGAAAUUCUUGGAUUUUGAUCAGACGAACUACUGCGAAAGCAUUUAUCAAGGAUGUUUUCAUUG
This 392-nucleotide ribosomal RNA is filed under the name Aplanochytrium sp. RNAcentral describes it as "partial small subunit ribosomal RNA". It matches the Rfam family "Eukaryotic small subunit ribosomal RNA", at positions 582 to 975 of the family's 1831-position model. Lineage: Eukaryota; Bigyra; Thraustochytrida; Thraustochytriidae. The record is from RNAcentral.